UUAAUUUUUCCAAAAUUAAUUAGAUUUCAUUAAGGGUAAUUAAGUAAUUACGUAAAAUCAAGGACUCAACAAGAGCCGAGAGUCCGACACGUCAGCAAAAACACUUCUCAAAUAUUGUUAUAUAUAGAUAUAGAUUUGUAUUUUUCUUUUUAAAUGGAAAUCAAUCAAAAUUAAGUUACUUACCUUGAUAUUAAAAACAUAGUCAAACCUUUUGAGAAUUCUACUUU
Molecule: long non-coding RNA, 227 nt
Filed under: Arabidopsis lyrata
Lineage: Eukaryota; Viridiplantae; Streptophyta; Magnoliopsida; Brassicales; Brassicaceae
Description: long non-coding RNA (ALYR_LNC000556)
Source: RNAcentral